This 72-nucleotide transfer RNA is filed under the name Heterocephalus glaber (naked mole-rat). It matches the Rfam family "tRNA". From Rfam's summary of the family: Transfer RNA (tRNA) molecules are approximately 80 nucleotides in length. Lineage: Eukaryota; Metazoa; Chordata; Mammalia; Rodentia; Bathyergidae. The record is from Rfam by way of RNAcentral.
UGGGGUGUAGCUCAGUGGCAGAGCACUUGUCUGGCACCUGCAAGGCCCUGGGUUCCAUACCCAGCACCACAA